This 1385-nucleotide long non-coding RNA is filed under the name Nicotiana tabacum (common tobacco). Its description in RNAcentral is "long non-coding RNA (NTAB_LNC006605)". The record is from RNAcentral. Lineage: Eukaryota; Viridiplantae; Streptophyta; Magnoliopsida; Solanales; Solanaceae.
UCUUUAUUUUGUAAAACAUUGUUCAAUUUAUUUGUCAAUAGUAGUACUCUGAACAUCAAGUCGAGCAUAAAAAUAAAUAUCUAAAUCUUACGCGAAUAGAUUUCUACAUCUAGUAACUGAAUGUGGCGGCUUACAUUCAAUAUUUUCAAGCACGUGAUAAUUGAAGGAAAUAGAAAUAUACAAUUGUCCAACAACAUACCCAUUAUAUUCUCAUACUUAAGAUCUGAAGAGAGUAGUGUGUACGCAGAACUUACCCCUACCUAGUGAAGGUUGAGAGAUUGUUUUCAAUAAUUUAAAGGGCAGCCUGGUGCACUAAACUCCCGCUAUGCGUGGGGUUCGGGGAAGGGCCGUACCACAAGAGUCUAUUAUACGCAAUUUUACCCUGCAUUUUGGCAAGAAAUUAUUUCCACGGCUUGAACACAUGACUUCCUGGUCACAUGAUAGUAACUUUACCGGUUAACCUUAGACUCUCUUCUAAAUAUUUUAAAAUGAGAUUCUCUGUGAGUUUCACCCGGUCAUUGCAGCCGCGUUUUUUAUUCAAUCCUUGCCCGAUUUGACAUCUCCAACUUUAAGCAAUUCUUAACUUAUCUACUUGACGUUGUGGAAAAGUCCUUGCGCUCAAAAGAUGCUCCUGCAGUAUCCACAUCCAAAUGCUUUUAGAAAGAUACAAGUGUUAAUUGCAAGAGCAAAAAAAAUGAAUAUAAUAUGUAGUUGCAGCAUCUUGCAAGAUCAAAGACUUGAGGCCAUUUAUUUCCCGUUACAUAUUACUAGCUUCUUCGUAACAUUGUGCACAUAUACCAAAUGGACUUAACGAGACCAAAAGCAAAAAAUAAAUUGCUUCCUUUAGUGAUAGUGCAAAUGUAUCAUCACUCACGUUGACAAUAGCCAAGAUCACUCGAUCACCAUUCAAUUUUUGUUAACAUAUCGACAUCUAGGGUUAUUUGCUCUUUACGUGAAAUGUCCUUUGGUUUAUCAAUUAAUAUCCUAAAAUAAUCACCAUCCAAGUCUUUGAUGACAACUUUGAUUGUUUCUUUAUCAUAAGCAUCCACAAUAUUUUUUUGAAUGGUUGGAGAAAUCAUCAUAUCAUUAUUUAAAACAGUAUGUAAUAUAACGUUUCCUACAUUCAUGUGUCUAUCUCCCAUGUCAUUCCAAAAGUUCUGCCUUUGAUUGUAGAAAUCUUUUCCCAUCGUGACCACAAAAUGGCAACCCAAUCUUAAGAGACAUCUUGCCACUACAACUAAGGCAUAUAAUUGCAUCUAAUAUUCGCUUUCACUAUAUCACUUUGCUUGUCAAAAGAAAAUUGAACUGAACGAAGUUGAUAUAUCAAAUCUUAGCAUCUUGUUGAAACAUUUAUGAUGGAUACUAUUUACCUCACUAACUAAUAU